Non-coding RNA from Triticum urartu, 4550 nucleotides. Lineage: Eukaryota; Viridiplantae; Streptophyta; Magnoliopsida; Poales; Poaceae. The record is from RefSeq and is a predicted model, not a curated record.
GUGGGCGGCUGCAUUUCAUCCCUUCUCCACGGAUCCAGUCAUAUCGUCAACCAUACCGACCAAGACGGCCGCCGGCGAGCUGCAGAUCAUCUGGGAGGGAUCCGCCCCGCUGCCCUCCUCUUUGCCAGGCAGUACUCUAUUCGUACUCACAACAGCAUGGAUGACCAUAGAUCCGAGUCUGGUAGCCGCGCCGAGCAGCGAGAUGGUUGUGGCAACGACACCCCGGGCGCAGCCGCCGUCGGAGAUGAUUCCAACCUGGACGAGUCAUCCUCCAGCGCUGUGCCCGGAGAUCCACCCACGCCAACAUCACGCAUCUCCUUGAAGCAUGCAGUCAGUGUAAUUCAGACUUUUGAUGACUACAAGAAGUGGUUAGUAGAGCAGAUUGGGUUUGGAGGUAUGCUGAAGCUGCCAGCACUACAGAAGCUGAGUCUGAAGACGAGCGCGUGGAUUAUGAGCAGAGUUAGCGUCAGCCGCAGGGAGAUUAAAUUGAGGGACAACAAGGUUCUUAAGUUUUACCCACAGGAUUUCUACAAGGUUUUUGGGAUCCCAUGCGGCCACCGUAGUGUCAAGGGGAGGGAUGCAAACAUCAAUCCUGAGGCUGUUCAUUUUAUAAAGACAACACUUCAGAUGAACAAAACUGGAGUACACAGCUUGAGGGCAGCUGAAGAUUUUCUGAUGCGUGACAUCAAUGAGAAUUCAAGCAAACUAGAGAAAGAUUGUUUCCAGAUCGCAUUUGUGAUAUUCGUUAUGGAUCAUGUGCUAGUUCCAACCACGAAGCACAACUACACGACCAUUGACUUUUGGGGAGCCAUAGCAAACAUUGAAUCAAUCGAUCAAUUUAACUGGUGUGAGUAUGUCCUUAAGCACCUUCUCGAUGCAGUGAAGAAGCUUAAGAGAGACAUGAUGGCCAACAAUCUAUCGACCAACCUAACUGGUUGUCAUCUUUUUUUCAGGUCUUUUUGCUUGACAACCUCGACCUUGGCAUUUUCAGUAAGUCGCACAGUGUGCUCCCCAGGAUACCAGAAUUUCAUCCCGAGUCCUUCCGUCGAAUGCUUGCCAUGGCUGCUGACCCGGUUAAAGGAACUACCUCCUACGCGCAUGCCAAUCUGAGAGACGCUUCGACAGUAUGCUACACACGCCACAAGUUUCCGCCAUCAGCUCCGCCGUUUGCAACCACCAACAGGCUUACUAGGCGUUCCGGCAUGCCGAUGGCAGGACACCCCCCAAACACAACUCCUGUAAUGCAUGGGCAAACAGAGGUUUUAACACCUACCGGUCCCGCUCCCGGGCCACUUCAUUUUGCAAAGUAUCUACGGGACAAGUAUCCUCAUCUAGUAGCUGACGAGAUCACGAUGAUUUUAAAACAGCACAACGCGAGAGGCAUUAUGCAUUUGACCCAAGCCACCAACAAAAUCCAGCAGGCCCUGUUGGAAGCAAAGAAUGGGCUUCAAAUGGGCUUCUACACGUUCUCAGACAAAGUAAUAAAAUCAGUCACAAAUCGUUGUGUGUGCUGUCGCGCUCGGGGUUUCACUGAGUGUCCAGAGUCAGCCCUCCCUGCCACCUCCAAGUCUGUACGCUUUAGGACGCUUGUAGCAGGAAAAAUACAGGGACAAAGGCUUGAGCUAUCUGAUUGCGAAGCUACGUCGCCUCUGCCACCAGCCGGUAUGCGCAAGCGCGCCAUGGAUGCGCAUGAUUCUACAUCAAAUAGCAAGAAAUCCUCCUCGCGAGCAUCUUCCAAUGCGCUCAAUUACUUCAAGUCCACUUUAAUGUCCAUCGCUCAAAUGUACGCAGACCUUCCAGUCAACACUCCAUUUACUGUCUUUGGACAGUGCUGCACCAAUCUACACAAGCGGAAAUACAUAUUCCAGCAUGGAUUUGCAACCGAUCCAUGGGUGAACGGUGUUGUGCCACAUCCGCCACACAUGCCAACAACCGACCUUAUUGUUGCCCACUUCACACAGCUGCCAACGCAAGACCUACAGAGUCCACGGCUGAUCUGCGUUACCGGUAUGGCGUUGCGCGAGCAGCUUGUCGGGAUGCAGCACCUUCACCACGAGCUUGUUUCUAUAAUCAUGAGGAGGUAUUCCCAGUCCGACCAGGAAGCGAAUUCAAAGUGUCCAUACAUGAACUGGAGGCACAAUAUGGAACCUGAAUUUGCCACCAUUGUCCUUGCGGACCAUGAAUAUUUGACGAACAUCUCGAUCCAGAAGCAGUUGGUUGGCAACGAGAUCCCAUAUGACAUAACCUCUUGCCAGAUGUUCUUCUUGCCAAUACCAUCAGAGGAUGGAUGGAUAAUACUGAUGUGGGACAUGUUGUCAAGGAAGCUCCACGUGCUUGACCCUCUCACCAGAGGAGGAGGUCCGAGCGACGCAACAAAAGACAAGCACGAACUCAUAGCUUGGAAGCUUCAUCACGCUCUUUUCCAAUGCCUGAACGAGUACUACGCUGGCUGGCCCACGCAAGACGGCCAGUGGGCGACCAAAUACCCCGUUGUAGCUGAGGAAAAUUUCGAUACACAAGAAACUGGCGCGUGCGUGCUCCACAUCGCCCGACACUACGACGGCCAGAAGCUGAAGAUCCCUCUAACCAAGACUGCAAUGUCAGGUCUACAAUAAGGGAACACGACUAUGGAAAUCAUGGCCAAUCACUAUGCUGAAGGAACUUUCCCCACCAACAAACGACAUCCUCAUUAUCAGGCAGUCAUGUUAGCAUUGAACCUUGAAAUUGCUUCAGGAUAGGGAUGGGAAUGGUUCAACCCAAUUGACAGCGGGUACUUAUCCCCCCAAUCCCUCCUUGAAGAUGUUUGCUCACCUACCACACCAGUCCCUGCUGAUUCAUGUUGUCUCUUGCUGCUGUGUGUCACAGUGUGCUUAAUCCCACAUUUUUUCAGAUAAGCGAGGACAACUUGUUGGAAGUUAGUCAGUGAGCCAGUCCCGUUUAAAGCAAAACCCUGUGCACGAGCCUCACCGUCGGCGCCAUCUGCAGCACACAUAUUUUUCUCAGUGGGUACAAAAGGUUUACCAAGAUAUAUAGUUGUACAAACAUUCAUGUUGAAGUACCUGCUUCGUCACGCCGGAAAGAAGGACCAGGAUUGCAGUAUGUUUGCACAUCUAGCACAGUUGGACGAGCCGUCUUUUCAUUGGUUCUGGUUUGCUCAACCACCACAUUUGCUGCUCGAGCGACUUGGUCCACUGCUGCACCCAUUUCGUCUGUAUCGGUCAUGUCCGCAGCUACUGUGUGUGUUUUACCAUUUUUGGCAGCAUCACAGUCAUGAAGAUACGUGAUCACUGCUUGCUGUAAGCAUGUGGCUGACCCAUCAUUCACAGAUUGCAGUCCAUGUCUAUGAGCUUCACCAUCAUCCGAAUCUACAGGACACAUCCAUAUGAUGUUCGUUCUACUCAUGAGCCACAAAAGCAAAAGUUUUGGGAUCAAGCUUUCUUUUGAGUGAUUUUGUUACCUCCGUUGUCAUGUUGGAAGGAAGGACCAGGCCGACAUGUUGUUGGAACAUCUAAUCCAUGUGGACGGGCCCUUCGACGCUGCCUGGAACGCUGCUCUCCCAUAUCUGCUGGACAGUUUGGUGCAUCUGGAACACCGUGCCAACCCAGCAAUAUAGGGCCGCUGAUGGGGGGGUCUUCAUCAUCAGCAUCUCCUGCCCUUGCGCUACCAACCACAAGUAUUGUUGUUUGACACGUAGUAACAAGGUUAGUUUUAAACAUCUCCUGAUUUGUUUCGAUGUAUUAAUGCUUUGGUAAUUCAUCAUGUAGUCAUGUACAUAUAUUUUGCUAAAAUUCCGAAGUAAACCUCCUAUCCACGCGAUCCACCAGACGCAUGUGUUCAGGGCAGCUAGCAAAUCAUUUAAGUUAUUCAAUCCCGGCAUAGUUGUUUCACCAUUCAAUACUUCAGCUUCGUCCAUGUAGUCGAUUGGGACUUGCGAUGCUACUGCCAGAAAUUCGUCAUCCAAUUCUGUAAAACACAGAUUUUUUCCAUGAUCAUUUCUACUAAAUAUUAAUUUAUAAUAACGUUGGAGUAUUGUCUUAGUAGGACCAUACCCGUUGACUCAUCUUCUUCACCAGAAUAGUCAGUACCUGCCAAUGAUGCACCCCCAAAGAACUCAUCAUCUAGAUCUGAACACCGGGAAAUAGUUGACAUUAGAUCAGACUGUCUUUUUUCUUAUGCUUGGGAAUGGCUACAGCAUAUUAGUAUGGCAGCAAUUUAUACCCUCGUUACGACGCAAGGAGUCCUGUCCCCUGCUGACCAUACGCUCACCGUUGGCGGCGAGUGGAGACAGGUUUGCAGCCGCCUAUUGGCUUGCAUUCAGUAGCUCCCUCCAGUUCUUGUCCCUAACUUCGCCGUCAGUUAGUACAUCCCAUGCAGCUUCACCUUCAUUUUCAUGUUGGUCAUCUUGGCUGUCCCUCUCUAGUUCUGCCCAGUGUAUCUGUUCUUGGUUGUUACCAUUGGAUCUGCUGUUGCCAAAUGCAUGUUUGUCUGCUCCAGCAUAUGCAUAGUCACAAUUGAAAAUAUUAAAUAAAACAAGCAGUAUUAUUACAGAA